GUAGGGGGCAAGCGUUGUCCGGAUUCAUUGGGCGUAAAGCGCGUGUAGGCGGUUCAAUAGGUCCGAUGUGAAAACUCGAGGCUCAACUUCGAGAGGCCAUCGGAAACCAUUGGACUAGAGUCCGGAAGAGGAGAGUGGAAUUCCUGGUGUAGCGGUGAAAUGCGCAGAUAUCAGGAGGAACACCGAUGGCGAAGGCAGCUCUCUGGGACGGUACUGACGCUGAGACGCGAAAGCGUGGGGGAGCGAACAGGAUUAGAUACCCUGGUAGUCCACGCCGUAAACGAUGGGCACUAGGUGUGGGUGGUGUCGACUCCAUCCGUGCCGCAGCUAACGCAUUAAGUGCCCCCCGCCUGGGAGUACGGCCGCAAGGCUA
This 373-nucleotide ribosomal RNA is filed under the name uncultured organism. RNAcentral's name for it is "partial 16S ribosomal RNA". It matches the Rfam family "Bacterial small subunit ribosomal RNA", at positions 527 to 896 of the family's 1533-position model. The record is from RNAcentral.